AAGACACGAGGGCGAUCAGGGAAAAGGAAGACGCGAGAGAGGGUCAGAAAGAAACUCUGGACGCCAGCUGGAAGGGAGAACCGCGAUCGUUCGAUGCCAUAGUGGGGCGUCAGAUCGGUUGUACGCGUGGAAAAUGGGACUGGUUUUUAUCGGAAUCGCCUGGUGCACCUCCUGCGGGAGGGGACAUGACGUAUCCCUUUGGCCCGCUGGUCGCGCGCGCGCACUGGUACCAACACGAGGAACCAAGCGAACCAACGUUCCUGCCGGUUCGACCGGCGAUCCAUCAUCGUAAAAAGUGUUUCUCUCCUCCUCGCGUUGCGGCACCGCUUGUGUAGAUCUGGCUGGUCACGAGUCGACGGUUCGUCUGGGUCGUCGACGAUCAUCCGCCGAUCGAUCGAUCGAUCGUAUCGCGUCGGUCAG
RNAcentral lists this unclassified non-coding RNA (420 nucleotides) under Bombus terrestris (buff-tailed bumblebee). RNAcentral describes it as "misc RNA ENSBTSG00005035669.1". The record is from RNAcentral. Lineage: Eukaryota; Metazoa; Arthropoda; Insecta; Hymenoptera; Apidae.